RNAcentral lists this ribosomal RNA (124 nucleotides) under Schmidtea mediterranea. RNAcentral describes it as "5.8S rRNA". It matches the Rfam family "5.8S ribosomal RNA", at positions 1 to 125 of the family's 154-position model. From Rfam's summary of the family: 5.8S ribosomal RNA (5.8S rRNA) is a component of the large subunit of the eukaryotic ribosome. It is transcribed by RNA polymerase I as part of the 45S precursor that also contains 18S and 28S rRNA. Lineage: Eukaryota; Metazoa; Platyhelminthes; Tricladida; Dugesiidae. The record is from RNAcentral.
CACUUUAAGCGAUGGAUCACUCGGCUCACACGUCGAUGAAGAACGUAGCAAAAUACGUGAAUUAAUGUAAAAUGCACAACGCUCUGAUCAUUGACACUUUGAACGCAAAUGGCGGCUUUUGGUU